CAACCUACCUAUCAGAGGGGAAUAACCCGGCGAAAGUCGGACUAAUACCGCAUAAAACAGGGGCACCGCAUGGUGAUAUUUGUUAAAGAAAUUCGCUGAUAGAUGGGCAUGCGUUCCAUUAGGUAGUUGGUGAGGUAACGGCUCACCAAGCCGACGAUGGAUAGGGGAACUGAGAGGUUGGUCCCCCACACCGGUACUGAGACACGGACCAGACUCCUACGGGAGGCAGCAGUGAGGAAUAUUGGUCAAUGGGCGAGAGCCUGAACCAGCCAAGUCGCGUGAAGGAAGAAGGAUCUAUGGUUCGUAAACUUCUUUUGCAGGGGAAUAUAGUGCAGGACGUGUCCUGUUUUGUAUGUACCCUGAGAAUAAGGAUCGGCUUACUCCGUGCCAGCAGCCGCGGUAAUACGGAGGAUCCGAGCGUUAUCCGGAUUUAUUGGGUUUAAAGGGUGCGUAGGUGGUUUGAUAAGUCAGCGGUGAAAGUUUGCAGCUUAACUGUAAAAAUGCCGUUGAAACUGUCGGACUUGAGUGUAAAUGAGGUAGGCGGAAUGCGUGGUGUAGCGGUGAAAUGCAUAGAUAUCACGAAGAACUCCGAUUG
This 595-nucleotide ribosomal RNA is filed under the name uncultured Bacteroidota bacterium. RNAcentral describes it as "bacterial SSU rRNA". It matches the Rfam family "Bacterial small subunit ribosomal RNA", at positions 122 to 715 of the family's 1533-position model. The record is from RNAcentral. Lineage: Bacteria; Pseudomonadati; Bacteroidota.